Molecule: long non-coding RNA, 673 nt
Filed under: Ananas comosus (pineapple)
Lineage: Eukaryota; Viridiplantae; Streptophyta; Magnoliopsida; Poales; Bromeliaceae
Description: long non-coding RNA (ACOM_LNC018141)
Source: RNAcentral
UUCAAAACCCGAAUCCGACUCCAAACCCGAGACCCGAACCCGAACCCGAACCCGAACCCAAAUCCGAAAAUUUGAACCCGAAACAAUUAUUUCUUUUUUCAAUAUUUCAAAAUAUAUUAUAUUAAAUCUAAAUUUUUAAAAUACAAAUUCAAGUAUAACAUCAAAUUUUAAUAUAUAUAUUAUAUAUAAUACAAAAAUAAAUUCGGGUUCGGGUCGGGUUUGGGUUCGGGUCGGGUACAGUCAAAAUCCAUAUCGUAAUCCAUAUCCGUCGGAUUUUUAUUUUUAAUAUCCAUAUCUGAAUCCAUAUUCAUUUAGCAUCGGAUAUAUCCGUUUCAUUCGGGUUCGAAUUCGGAUGAAAUUUCGGGUAUCCUACAUUGACAUCCCUACUGACUAGGCGGUGUAUCGAGCCGAACACGGGCGAGCUGGGGCCGGCUCGUGUUCGGCUUGUUUAAACGCAAGCUGGCUCAUUAAAGUAUCGAGCUGAAAAAUUCAGCUCGUGUUCGACUCGUUAAUAAACGAGCCGAACACGAGCUGGCUCACGAGCUGGCCAACGAACAAUAAAUUUAAAAAAAAUUAGAUUGAAUAUAUAAAAAAUAAAUUUAUAAAAUCUUAUCCAUUAGACUUUGAUCUAAUAGUUAAAACUUUACAUAUAAAUGAGUUUUUUUAUAAUUAA